Molecule: ribosomal RNA, 429 nt
Filed under: uncultured Burkholderia sp.
Lineage: Bacteria; Pseudomonadati; Pseudomonadota; Betaproteobacteria; Burkholderiales; Burkholderiaceae
Description: bacterial SSU rRNA
Rfam family: Bacterial small subunit ribosomal RNA
Source: RNAcentral
UGGGGAAUUUUGGACAAUGGGCGAAAGCCUGAUCCAGCAAUGCCGCGUGUGUGAAGAAGGCCUUCGGGUUGUAAAGCACUUUUGUCCGGAAAGAAAUCCUGAGGGCUAAUAUCCUUCGGGGAUGACGGUACCGGAAGAAUAAGCACCGGCUAACUACGUGCCAGCAGCCGCGGUAAUACGUAGGGUGCGAGCGUUAAUCGGAAUUACUGGGCGUAAAGCGUGCGCAGGCGGUUUGUUAAGACCGAUGUGAAAUCCCCGGGCUCAACCUGGGAACUGCAUUGGUGACUGGCAAGCUAGAGUAUGGCAGAGGGGGGUAGAAUUCCACGUGUAGCAGUGAAAUGCGUAGAGAUGUGGAGGAAUACCGAUGGCGAAGGCAGCCCCCUGGGCCAAUACUGACGCUCAUGCACGAAAGCGUGGGGAGCAAACAGG